RNAcentral lists this long non-coding RNA (292 nucleotides) under Coturnix japonica (Japanese quail). Its description in RNAcentral is "lncRNA (ENSCJPG00005000472.1)". Lineage: Eukaryota; Metazoa; Chordata; Aves; Galliformes; Phasianidae. The record is from RNAcentral.
AUAUCACUAUAUCAGCCCAGCUACAGCAGCUCUGCUCCCAUCCAGAAUCAAGGGAGGGCAGGGGACAUACAGUAAGAGCUGCUUCUGCAUUCGGGUACUUUCAUUUCCAAUGUAUUCUAAUAUUGCAGUAGAAGAGGAGAAGUGCUCUGUCGUGCUGAACCAAAAAACCUGACCAAAGGGUGCUGAUAGGAUGGUGGCAGCUGGGAAUGUAAAGAAGUGUACAUUUCGUGUUAUAUUGUAUUCUUUUAUAAGGAUUCCCCUGUCCUGUAAUUUUCUGACCCCAAGACCACAA